GAUGAACGCUGGCGGCGUGCCUAAUACAUGCAAGUCGAGCGAACGGACGAGAAGCUUGCUUUUCUGAUGUUAGCGGCGGACGGGUGAGUAACACGUGGAUAACCUACCUAUAAGACUGGGAUAAUUUCGGGAAACCGGAGCUAAUACCGGAUAAUAUUUUGUACCGCAUGGUUCAAAAGUGAAUGACGGUCUUGCUGUCACUUAUAGAUGGAUCCGCGUUGGAUUAGCUAGUUGGUAAGGUAACGGCUUACCAAGGCAACGAUGCAUAGCCGACCUGAGAGGAUGAUCGGCCACACUGGAACUGAGACACGGUCCAGACUCCUACGGGAGGCAGCAGUAGGGAAUCUUCCGCAAUGGGCGAAAGCCUGACGGAGCAACGCCGCGUGAGUGAUGAAGGUCUUCGGGUCGUAAAACUCUGUUAUUAGGGAAGAACAUAUGUGUAAGUAACCGUGCACAUCUUGACGGUACCUAAUCAGAAAGCCACGGCUAACUACGUG
RNAcentral lists this ribosomal RNA (497 nucleotides) under uncultured bacterium. Its description in RNAcentral is "partial 16S ribosomal RNA". It matches the Rfam family "Bacterial small subunit ribosomal RNA", at positions 28 to 507 of the family's 1533-position model. The record is from RNAcentral.